Molecule: non-coding RNA, 91 nt
Organism: Bombyx mori (domestic silkworm)
Lineage: Eukaryota; Metazoa; Arthropoda; Insecta; Lepidoptera; Bombycidae
Source: RefSeq, marked provisional
UGUCGUGUUUAUAAGUAGACAUUGUCCGGCUUGUUGUUCAUCAAGUCGAACAUAAUCUGCUUACAACCGUGACGAGAUGCAGUGCGCGGCG